Molecule: ribosomal RNA, 492 nt
Filed under: uncultured bacterium
Lineage: Bacteria
Description: partial 16S ribosomal RNA
Rfam family: Bacterial small subunit ribosomal RNA
Source: RNAcentral
AGUGAACGCUGGCGGUAGGCCUAACACAUGCAAGUCGAACGGCAGCACAGUAAGAGCUUGCUCUUACGGGUGGCGAGUGGCGGACGGGUGAGGAAUACAUCGGAAUCUACUUUUUCGUGGGGGAUAACGUAGGGAAACUUACGCUAAUACCGCAUACGACCUACGGGUGAAAGCAUGGGAUCUUCGGACCUUGCGCGAUUGAAUGAGCCGAUGUCGGAUUAGCUAGUUGGCGGGGUAAAGGCCCACCAAGGCGACGAUCCGUAGCUGGUCUGAGAGGAUGAUCAGCCACACUGGAGCUGAGACACGGUCCAGGCUACUACGGGAGGCAGCAGUGGGGAAUAUUGGACAAUGGGCGCGAGCCUGAUCCAGCCAGACCGCGUGGGUGAAGAAGGCCUUCGGGUUGUAAAGCCCUUUUGUUGGGAAAGAAAAGCAGCAGGUUAAUACCCCGCUGUUCUGACGGUACCCAAAGAAUAAGCACCGGCUAACUUCGUG